GUUUGGCUAGAACGCCCGUGUGCUUCAUUACUGUUUAGUACUAUUGCCAUUAUUUCAGAUGUUUCCUGUGUGACUGUGAGGCUGAGAGCCAACCACCUUGUCAGCAGAGCGGGUGAUCUGCAGAUCUGGAGAGCUGUCUCCUUCCCCUCCUUGGUCUGCUCUUUCCUCUCUGGAUUCGCCCUUCCCGGGCAAGUCAUUCAGAAGUGAAUCUGGAGCAGAAAGUAGAUGGUCACGGUCCACUUUGCUGGCAGUAAAGGCUGUCCGGCCUGAGUCGAACAUGGACCAGGAACAGCUGCCACCUCUACAGGCUCCGGUGUAGAAUGGUGGACAGUAAAGAUGGGAACCACUCCUGAGUUGAAAAUGCACAGUGCGCCAGGGUCUGUUGGUCCACGCUGGUGGCUGCUUGGUUGUGUCUGGUCUUGUCAACAAUUUCAUCAGGAAGUCUCCCACAUUUAUGAUGCUGAUACAAAGAGCCAUGCCAGUCAUAAAAGGGUACAUUCACUUGCUUACGAGGUUGCAGUAGUCUUGCUGCCCUGGGUGGUCUGCUGGGAGGGGUGAUCUGUGCUUGGGCUCCAUGAACACACAGAGGAAUAAGGGGUGGAUGUGCUGUAACCCCUUCCACAGGGAGCUAAGUCAGGCACUCCAGGUGGCAUGGCUCCUGGAAGGUGUCUCCUCCACGUCCAGCAUGUAGAGAUGUGACAGGGGUGGCCAGCCCUGGGAAUGAGUUAGCUGCGAAGGCUCAGAGGGGACAGCUUUGUCACUCGGGUGCUGCCUAAACUUCCUGUGUUUUCUUUUCUUUUGGGUUUCUUUCUUUGGCCCUACCUCCACCCCUUUCCUCUCCAAUCCCAGGCUCUGAUGGGACAAGGGGAACCGAGGGAGAGAUGGCUGACUACAACUGGGCCGGAGCUUUGAAGGACAAACCGUGACGCCAAGGCUGACACGAUGGUGGAUGCCAGAGUCAGAGGGAAAGCAGAGCGAGGAGAAAGAGGACACUCAGGGGAGACAUCAGUGCAGUCUGGUCAGUUGCCAUCUCUCCACCUGGAGAGUCAGCUUCCAGUUUGAAAACCUUGG
This 1071-nucleotide long non-coding RNA is filed under the name Fukomys damarensis (Damara mole-rat). RNAcentral describes it as "lncRNA (ENSFDAG00000028875.1)". Lineage: Eukaryota; Metazoa; Chordata; Mammalia; Rodentia; Bathyergidae. The record is from RNAcentral.